This 301-nucleotide ribosomal RNA is filed under the name uncultured bacterium. RNAcentral's name for it is "partial 16S ribosomal RNA". It matches the Rfam family "Bacterial small subunit ribosomal RNA", at positions 509 to 807 of the family's 1533-position model. The record is from RNAcentral.
CAGCAGCCGCGGGAAUACGAGGGGAGCUAGCGUUGUUCGGAAUUACUGGGCGUAAAGCGCGCGUAGGCGGCUUUUUAAGUCAGGGGUGAAAUCCCGAGGCUCAACCUCGGAACUGCCUUUGAUACUGGAGAUCUUGAGUUCGGAAGAGGUUGGUGGAACAGCUAGUGUAGAGGUGAAAUUCAUAGAUAUUAGCUAGAACAUCAGUGGCGAAGGCGGCCAACUGGUCCGAUACUGACGCUGAGGUGCGAAAGCGUGGGGAGCAAACAGGAUUAGAUACCCCCGUAGUCCCUGUCUCUUAUAC